This 224-nucleotide long non-coding RNA is filed under the name Elaeis guineensis (African oil palm). Its description in RNAcentral is "long non-coding RNA (EGUI_LNC034701)". Lineage: Eukaryota; Viridiplantae; Streptophyta; Magnoliopsida; Arecales; Arecaceae. The record is from RNAcentral.
ACUAUCCCCAAACAGACUCUGUAUCUAAGUUGUAUCCCAUGUCCUCUCAUUAGGAUCGAUCAACUCAUUGGCCCUCAUGCUCGUUUGAGACUCCACAUAAAACAUGGUCGGCCAUCUCCAUAAGGGGAGGUCAAAUAGCCAAAUAUCAUUCAUGAUAUCUAUUGACCACUCAUCUCCUAUCACCUAUCUGGUACUAGAUAUCACCUCUGAUGCAUGACCAUAGA